AUUGAACGCUGGCGGCAUGCCUUACACAUGCAAGUCGAACGGCAGCACGGGAGCAAUCCUGGUGGCGAGUGGCGAACGGGUGAGUAAUGUAUCGGAACGUACCUUCAGGUGGGGGAUAACGUAGCGAAAGUUACGCUAAUACCGCAUAUUCUGUGAGCAGGAAAGCAGGGGAUCGCAAGACCUUGCGCUGAUUGAGCGGCCGAUAUCAGAUUAGCUAGUUGGUGAGGUAAAGGCUCACCAAGGCGACGAUCUGUAGCGGGUCUGAGAGGAUGAUCCGCCACACUGGAACUGAGACACGGUCCAGACUCCUACGGGAGGCAGCAGUGGGGAAUUUUGGACAAUGGGCGCAAGCCUGAUCCAGCCAUGCCGCGUGAGUGAAGAAGGCCUUCGGGUUGUAAAGCUCUUUCGGCCGGGAAGAAAUCGCACAGGUUAAUACCCUGUGUGGAUGACGGUACCGGAAUAAGAAGCACCGGCUAACUACGUG
Molecule: ribosomal RNA, 484 nt
Filed under: uncultured bacterium
Lineage: Bacteria
Description: bacterial SSU rRNA
Rfam family: Bacterial small subunit ribosomal RNA
Source: RNAcentral